UAUCUUUGCGGCCUGGUUGAAAAUCAAUCAUGUACAUAAAAAUCAUUAAAAUAAUAUUGGAAUG
RNAcentral lists this non-coding RNA (64 nucleotides) under unclassified sequences. RNAcentral's name for it is "S15-Flavobacteria ribosomal protein leader". It matches the Rfam family "S15-Flavobacteria ribosomal protein leader". The record is from RNAcentral.